RNAcentral lists this ribosomal RNA (936 nucleotides) under uncultured Halobacteria archaeon. RNAcentral's name for it is "bacterial SSU rRNA". It matches the Rfam family "Archaeal small subunit ribosomal RNA", at positions 374 to 1308 of the family's 1478-position model. Lineage: Archaea; Methanobacteriati; Methanobacteriota; Halobacteria. The record is from RNAcentral.
GGGGAUCCCAAGUGCACAGGCAUAGCGCCUGUGCUUUUCGGUACCCUAAGGCGGUACCAGAAUAAGGGCUGGGCAAGACCGGUGCCAGCCGCCGCGGUAAUACCGGCAGCCCAAGUGAUGGCCGACCUUAUUGGGCCUAAAGCGUCCGUAGCUGGCCGCGCAAGUCCAUCGGGAAAUCCACCUGCUCAACAGGUGGGCGCCCGGUAGAAACUGCGUGGCUUGGGACCGGAAGGCGCGACGGGUACGUCCGGGGUAGGAGUGAAAUCCCGUAAUCCUGGACGGACCGCCGAUGGCGAAAGCACGUCGCGAGAACGGAUCCGACAGUGAGGGACGAAAGCCAGGGUCUCGAACCGGAUUAGAUACCCGGGUAGUCCUGGCCGUAAACAAUGUCUGCUAGGUGUGGCUCCCACUACGAGUGGGUGCUGUGCCGUAGGGAAGCCGCUAAGCAGACCGCCUGGGAAGUACGUCCGCAAGGAUGAAACUUAAAGGAAUUGGCGGGGGAGCACUACAACCGGAGGAGCCUGCGGUUUAAUUGGACUCAACGCCGGACAUCUCACCAGCAUCGACUGUAAUAAUGACGAUCAGGUUGAUGACCUUAUCCGAGUUUCAGAGAGGAGGUGCAUGGCCGCCGUCAGCUCGUACCGUGAGGCGUCCUGUUAAGUCAGGCAACGAGCGAGACCCGCAUCCUUACUUGCCAGCAGUAUCGCGAGAUAGCUGGGGACAGUAGGGAGACCGCCGUGGCUAACACGGAGGAAGGAACGGGCAACGGUAGGUCAGUAUGCCCCGAAUGUGCUGGGCAACACGCGGGCUACAAUGGUCGAGACAAAGGGUUCCAACUCCGAAAGGAGACGGUAAUCUCAGAAACUCGAUCGUAGUUCGGAUUGUGGGCUGCAACUCGCCCACAUGAAGCUGGAUUCGGUAGUAAUCGCGUGUCAC